CUACGUGCCAGCAGCCGCGGAAAUACGGAGGGUGCAAGCGUUAAUCGGAAUUACUGGGCGUAAAGCGCACGCAGGCGGUCUGUCAAGUCGGAUGUGAAAUCCCCGGGCUCAACCUGGGAACUGCAUUCGAAACUGGCAGGCUAGAGUCUUGUAGAGGGGGGUAGAAUUCCAGGUGUAGCGGUGAAAUGCGUAGAGAUCUGGAGGAAUACCGGUGGCGAAGGCGGCCCCCUGGACAAAGACUGACGCUCAGGUGCGAAAGCGUGGGGAGCAAACAGGAUUAGAUACCCUGGUAGUCCACSCCGUAAACGAUGUCGACUUGGAGGUUGUGCCCUUGAGGCGUGGCUUCCGGAGCUAACGCGUUAAGUCGACCGCCUGGGGAGUACGGCCGCAAGGUUAAAACUCAAAUGAAUUGACGGGGGCCCGCACAAGCGGUGGAGCAUGUGGUUUAAUUCGAUGCAACGCGAAGAACCUUACCUACUCU
Molecule: ribosomal RNA, 481 nt
Filed under: uncultured bacterium
Lineage: Bacteria
Description: bacterial SSU rRNA
Rfam family: Bacterial small subunit ribosomal RNA
Source: RNAcentral